AAGGAAAUAAAAGCUGGCCACCUGCACAUCUAUGGUAAUGUGUUCUGGUCUCUUUUGCUACGUGGAAUGAUCGGUGCUCCGCUCUUUUCAGUAAGUUUUGAUACCGCCCACUGUUUGGGUCUGCUGUGGUGUUUAUGGGUUGUGAUACUCACUGCAGUGGUCAGCAGGAGUAAGUGGACCACGAACCCACUGGGGAGGAGCAAAGAAACUCCGGAUGUGCCGCAUUUAAAAGCUGUAGCACUCACUGCAAAAAUGUGCAGCUUCAUCUCGUUCAUGAGGUCUUUCAAACCACCAACCGACUGGAAGAAAGACUUCGAACACGUCUUACUAGGGGGAAGAAUGAAUUUCAGGCACAGGAUCUACAAGAGCUGUAACACUCCCUGCGAAAAUCGGCAGCUUCGUUCUCGCAGUCAGUAAGACCAAGAACGUGCUGGAAUGAUGUAAACGAUCCCGGGAACAUGUCCUUUGUGAAGGAGACGGUGGACAAGCUGUUGAAAGGCUACGACAUUCGCCUGAGACCCGACUUCGGGGGUCCCCCGGUCUGCGUGGGGAUGAACAUCGACAUCGCCAGCAUCGACAUGGUUUCCGAAGUCAACAUGCCUUCUUUCUGUUGGAGGUGCUUAGAAGCAGGGAUACAAUCAAAAGGCGUGAAGACACAGGAGAAGAAGAAAUGGAAGAGAGAAUAGAAACAGUUAAAAAUUUUUUCUAAACCGAUUUCCAAUUCUGGUCAAGAUGGAAUAGUGUCAUUCCUCCCAGGUCCUUCCUCCUGGAGCACAAAACUCUGGCCAUAACACAACAAAUAAACGCAGGAAGAA
RNAcentral lists this small RNA (815 nucleotides) under Pongo abelii (Sumatran orangutan). RNAcentral describes it as "processed transcript". Lineage: Eukaryota; Metazoa; Chordata; Mammalia; Primates; Hominidae. The record is from RNAcentral.